CCAUCAGUCUCACUGACAACUCAGUCCAAAUCCCAGAGCAUGGAGUGGGUGUGGAGGCUUCUCUUCUUUCUGGCUGCUUCCCAAGGAACCCACUCCCAGGUCCAGCUGACGCAGUCUGGGGCUGAGCUGAAGAAGCCUGGAGAGACAGUGAAGGUCUCCUGCAAGGCUUCAGGCUACACCUUUACCAGCUAUGCAAUGUACUGGGUAAAGCAGGAGACAGGAAAAGGCUUGCAGAACAUAGGGUGGAUCAACACUGCAAAUGGCAAUACAGGCUAUGCUGAGGGCUUCAGAGGUAGGUUUGUCAUCUCCAUGGAAGCCUCUGUCAGCACCACAUAUCUGCAGAUCAGCAACCUGAAGUCUGAGGACACAGCCAUGUAUUACUGUGCAAGACACAGUGUGAAAACCACAUCCUGA
Molecule: non-coding RNA, 414 nt
Organism: Castor canadensis (American beaver)
Lineage: Eukaryota; Metazoa; Chordata; Mammalia; Rodentia; Castoridae
Source: the annotation of a RefSeq genome assembly